AACAUCGCGCACCUGCGGGAACCUGCGGAAGGAUCAUUAACAAUUAUCCACAAAACAAAUGGGUAAUUUUUAUCCAUAUCCACCUUGUGUGAAUCAUUGAAGUGUUGGUUGGCAGGUUAAGCCGCUCUCAUUGCGGGAGCGGCUGUGGGUUUGGCAAUUGAUGUCUUGCUCGGCCUGCCAAUUUUAUUAUGUUUAACUUGUCUAAAAAUAUUGUUAGUCUGAAAUACUUACUAUAAAUAA
Molecule: unclassified non-coding RNA, 240 nt
Filed under: soil metagenome
Description: partial contains 5.8S ribosomal RNA, internal transcribed spacer 2, and large subunit ribosomal RNA
Source: RNAcentral